This is a small nuclear RNA of Alligator sinensis (Chinese alligator), 161 nucleotides long. RefSeq annotates it as U1 spliceosomal RNA. Lineage: Eukaryota; Metazoa; Chordata; Crocodylia; Alligatoridae. The record is from RefSeq and is a predicted model, not a curated record. The transcript has a single exon.
AUACAAUGCAAGGGAGAUCCCAUGAUCACAAAGGUGGUUUUCCCAGGGUGAGGCCUAUCCUUGCACUCUGGGCAGGCUAACCCCUGCAAGUUUCCCCCAAUGCAGGAAAUUUGAUUGGACAAUUUUGUGGUAACAGGGGAUUACUUUCUUACUUUCUCCUU